GAUGAACGCUGGCGGCGUGCCUAAUACAUGCAAGUCGAGCGAAUGGAUUAAGAGCUUGCUCUUAUGAAGUUAGCGGCGGACGGGUGAGUAACACGUGGGUAACCUGCCCAUAAGACUGGGAUAACUCCGGGAAACCGGGGCUAAUACCGGAUAACAUUUUGAACCGCAUGGUUCGAAAUUGAAAGGCGGCUUCGGCUGUCACUUAUGGAUGGACCCGCGUCGCAUUAGCUAGUUGGUGAGGUAACGGCUCACCAAGGGAACGAUGCGUAGCCGACCGGGGAGGGUGAUCGGCCACACUGGGACUGGGACACGGCCCAGACUCCUACGGGAGGCAGCAGUAGGGAAUCUUCCGCAAUGGACGAAGGUCUGACGGAGCAACGCCGCGUGAGUGAUGAAGGCUUUCGGGUCGUAAAACUCUGUUGUUAGGGAAGAACAAGUGCUAGUUGAAUAAGCUGGCACCUUGACGGUACCUAACCAGAAAGCCACGGCUAACUACGUGCCAGCCGCCGCCGUAA
RNAcentral lists this ribosomal RNA (515 nucleotides) under uncultured bacterium. Its description in RNAcentral is "partial 16S ribosomal RNA". It matches the Rfam family "Bacterial small subunit ribosomal RNA", at positions 28 to 523 of the family's 1533-position model. The record is from RNAcentral.